CAGCAUCCGCGGUAAUACGUAGGUGGCAAGCGUUGUCCGGAAUUAUUGGGCGUAAAGGGCUCGCAGGCGGUUUCUUAAGUCUGAUGUGAAAGCCCCCGGCUCAACCGGGGAGGGUCAUCGGAAACUGGGAAACUUGAGUGCAGAAGAGGAGAGUGGAAUUCCACGUGUAGCGGUGAAAUGCGUAGAGAUGUGGAGGAACACCAGUGGCGAAGGCGACUCUCUGGUCUGUAACUGACGCUGAGGAGCGAAAGCGUGGGGAGCGAACAGGAUUAGAUACCCCGGUAGUCCCUGUCUCUUAUAA
RNAcentral lists this ribosomal RNA (301 nucleotides) under uncultured bacterium. Its description in RNAcentral is "partial 16S ribosomal RNA". It matches the Rfam family "Bacterial small subunit ribosomal RNA", at positions 509 to 809 of the family's 1533-position model. The record is from RNAcentral.